RNAcentral lists this unclassified non-coding RNA (255 nucleotides) under Conlarium sp. RNAcentral describes it as "partial contains 5.8S ribosomal RNA, internal transcribed spacer 2, and large subunit ribosomal RNA". Lineage: Eukaryota; Fungi; Ascomycota; Sordariomycetes; Conlariaceae. The record is from RNAcentral.
CGCACAUUGCGCCCAUUAGUAUUCUAGUGGGCAUGCCUGUUCGAGCGUCAUUACAACCCUCAAGCGCUGUAGUGCUUGGCGUUGGGGCAUCUGCUGCCUGCAGCAGGCCCUGAAAGAUAGUGGCGAGGUCGCUGUGACCCUGAGCGUAGUAAUUUACACCUCGCUUCUGUGGCUCGCGGCGGUUUCUCAGCCGUGAAACCCCCAAAUUUUCACAAGGUUGACCUCGGAUCAGGUAGGAAUACCCGCUGAACUUAA